This 497-nucleotide ribosomal RNA is filed under the name uncultured bacterium. RNAcentral describes it as "partial 16S ribosomal RNA". It matches the Rfam family "Bacterial small subunit ribosomal RNA", at positions 28 to 507 of the family's 1533-position model. The record is from RNAcentral.
GACGAACGCUGGCGGCGUGCCUAAUACAUGCAAGUCGAGCGCUGAAGGCUUGUACUUGUACCAACUGGAUGAGCAGCGAACGGGUGUGUACCGCGUGUGGAAUCUGCCUUUGUGCGGGGUACCAUAUUUGGACACGAAUUCUUAUACCGCAUAAAAUCUUUAUACACAAGUUUUAAUUUUGAAAUACGCAAUUUCAUCAUUCAAUGACGAUUUCUCGUUGUAUUAGCUAGUUGGUGAGGUAAAGGCGCAACAAGGCGAUGAUACAGAGCAGAACUGAGAGGGUGGUCGGCCACAUUGGGAGUGAGACACGGCCCAAAGUGCUACGGGAAGCAGCAGUAGGGAAACGUCGGGCAUGGGCGAAAGACUGACCGAGAAGGGCCGAAUGAGUGAAGAAGGUUUUCGGGUCGUAGAACUCUGUUGGUAGAGAAGAAAGUUGGUGAGAGUGGAAAGCACAUCGAGUGACGGUAACUAGCAAGAAAGGGACGGCUAACUACGUG